CCAUCUCUGUAUCUCCCUGAGAGGAUUCUUGAGGAAUCAUAGACCGUUGCUAAGUCGCCCAGAAUCACAUCAAAGUGGAUAAGACUUGACGACAACAAGUGGGGAUUUCAUUUCCAACCCAUCUUCACAUUGCCCAACUACCAGAAAGUGAUGGUAUCAGAAUGGCAGGAGGGCCCAGCAAGGAACUGAAACUUGAUUCCUUUGUCACUACCUGCUGUGAGUGGACCUGGUAAGUCACUACACUGGGGUACCAAAGCCAGACUCAUACACAGGAUGAGUGCUAUUCAGUUGACAGAAGGCCCUUGGGG
Molecule: long non-coding RNA, 308 nt
Filed under: Rattus norvegicus (Norway rat)
Lineage: Eukaryota; Metazoa; Chordata; Mammalia; Rodentia; Muridae
Description: long non-coding RNA NONRATT032333
Source: RNAcentral